This 2113-nucleotide ribosomal RNA is filed under the name Acinetobacter baumannii. RNAcentral's name for it is "bacterial LSU rRNA". It matches the Rfam family "Bacterial large subunit ribosomal RNA", at positions 1 to 2143 of the family's 2925-position model. The record is from RNAcentral. Lineage: Bacteria; Pseudomonadati; Pseudomonadota; Gammaproteobacteria; Moraxellales; Moraxellaceae.
GUUGUAUAGUCAAGUAAUUAAGUGCAUGUGGUGGAUGCCUUGGCAGUCAGAGGCGAUGAAAGACGUGAUAGCCUGCGAAAAGCUCCGGGGAGGCGGCAAAUAUCCUUUGAUCCGGAGAUGUCUGAAUGGGGGAACCCACCUACUUUAAGGUAGGUAUUGCAACAUGAAUACAUAGUGUUGCAAGGCGAACGAGGGGAAGUGAAACAUCUCAGUACCCUUAGGAAAAGAAAUCAAUUGAGAUUCCCUCAGUAGCGGCGAGCGAACGGGGAUCAGCCCAUUAAGUUAUGUGUGUUUUAGUGGAACGCUCUGGGAAGUGCGAACGUAGAGGGUGAUAUUCCCGUACACGAAAGGGCACACAUAAUGAUGACGAGUAGGGCGAGGCACGUGAAACCUUGUCUGAAUAUGGGGGGACCAUCCUCCAAGGCUAAAUACUCCUGACUGACCGAUAGUGAACCAGUACCGUGAGGGAAAGGCGAAAAGAACCCCUGUGAGGGGAGUGAAAUAGAUCCUGAAACCGCAUGCAUACAAGCAGUGGGAGCACCUUCGUGGUGUGACUGCGUACCUUUUGUAUAAUGGGUCAGCGACUUAUAUUCAGUAGCGAGGUUAACCGUAUAGGGGAGCCGUAGAGAAAUCGAGUCUUAAUAGGGCGUUUAGUUGCUGGGUAUAGACCCGAAACCAGGCGAUCUAUCCAUGAGCAGGUUGAAGGUUGGGUAACACUAACUGGAGGACCGAACCCACUGUCGUUGAAAAGCCAGGGGAUGACUUGUGGAUAGGGGUGAAAGGCUAAUCAAGCCUGGUGAUAGCUGGUUCUCCCCGAAAGCUAUUUAGGUAGCGCCUCGGACGAAUACCAUAGGGGGUAGAGCACUGUUUCGGCUAGGGGGUCAUCCCGACUUACCAAACCGAUGCAAACUCCGAAUACCUAUGAGUACUAUCCGGGAGACAGACUGCGGGUGCUAACGUCCGUAGUCAAGAGGAAAACAAUCCAGACCGCCAGCUAAGGCCCCAAAAUCAUAGUUAAGUGGGAAACGAUGUGGGAAGGCAUAGACAGCUAGGAGGUUGGCUUAGAAGCAGCCACCCUUUAAAGAAAGCGUAAUAGCUCACUAGUCGAGUCGGCCUGCGCGGAAGAUGUAACGGGGCUAAAACUAUGUGCCGAAGCUGCGGAUGUAUACUUUGUAUACGUGGUAGGGGAGCGUUCUGUAAGCCGAUGAAGGUGUGUUGAGAAGCAUGCUGGAGGUAUCAGAAGUGCGAAUGCUGACGUGAGUAACGACAAAACGGGUGAAAAACCCGUUCGCCGAAAGACCAAGGGUUCCAGUCCAACGUUAAUCGGGGCUGGGUGAGUCGACCCCUAAGGCGAGGCCGAAAGGCGUAGUCGAUGGGAAAAUGGUUAAUAUUCCAUUACUUCUGUGUAAUGCGAUGAGAGGACGGAGAAGGCUAAAUCAGCCUGGCGUUGGUUGUCCAGGUGAAAGGAUGUAGGCAUGUAUCUUAGGCAAAUCCGGGGUACUCUAUGCUGAGAUCUGAUAGCAAGCUGUACUUGUACAGCGAAGUGGUUGAUGCCAUGCUUCCAGGAAAAGUCUCUAAGCUUCAGUUACACAGGAAUCGUACCCGAAACCGACACAGGUGGUCAGGUCGAGUAGACCAAGGCGCUUGAGAGAACUCUGCUGAAGGAACUAGGCAAAAUGGUACCGUAACUUCGGGAGAAGGUACGCUGUUGUUGGUGAUGGAACUCGCUUCCUGAGCUGACGACAGCCGCAGAAACCAGGCCGCUGCAACUGUUUAUUAAAAACAUAGCACUCUGCAAACACGAAAGUGGACGUAUAGGGUGUGAUGCCUGCCCGGUGCUGGAAGGUUAAUUGAUGGGGUUAGCGUAAGCGAAGCUCUUGAUCGAAGCCCCAGUAAACGGCGGCCGUAACUAUAACGGUCCUAAGGUAGCGAAAUUCCUUGUCGGGUAAGUUCCGACCUGCACGAAUGGCAUAAUGAUGGCGGCGCUGUCUCCAGCAGAGGCUCAGUGAAAUCGAAAUCGCUGUGAAGAUGCAGUGUACCCGCGGCUAGACGGAAAGACCCCGUGAACCUUUACUGCAGCUUGACACUGAACUUUGACCUUACUUGUGUAGGA